This 632-nucleotide ribosomal RNA is filed under the name uncultured bacterium. Its description in RNAcentral is "bacterial SSU rRNA". It matches the Rfam family "Bacterial small subunit ribosomal RNA", at positions 215 to 842 of the family's 1533-position model. The record is from RNAcentral.
GCGGUACGGGAUGGGCCCGCGUCUGAUUAGCCAGUUGGCAGGGUAACGGCCUACCAAAGCGACGAUCAGUAGCCGGCCUGAGAGGGUGGACGGCCACAUUGGGACUGAGACACGGCCCAAACUCCUACGGGAGGCAGCAGUGGGGGAUAUUGCACAAUGGGGGAAACCCUGAUGCAGCGACGCCGCGUGAGUGAAGGAGCGUUUCGGCGCGUAAAGCUCUAUCAGCAGGGAAGACAAACUGCCCCGGAAGGGGCAGCCGGACGGUACCUGACCAAGAAGCCCCGGCUAACUACGUGCCAGCAGCCGCGGUAAUACGUAGGGGGCAAGCGUUAUCCGGAUUUACUGGGUGUAAAGGGAGCGUAGACGGCAAGACAAGCCUGGAGUGAAAGGCGGGGGCCCAACCCCCGGACUGCUCUGGGAACUGUCUGGCUGGAGUGCAGGAGGGGUAAGUGGAAUUCCUAGUGUAGCGGUGAAAUGCGUAGAUAUUAGGAGGAACACCAGUGGCGAAGGCGGCUUACUGGACUGUAACUGACGUUGAGGCUCGAAAGCGUGGGGAGCAAACAGGAUUAGAUACCCUGGUAGUCCACGCCGUAAACGAUGACCACUAGGUGUCGGGGGCUUAAGGGCGCCCG